RNAcentral lists this ribosomal RNA (426 nucleotides) under uncultured bacterium. RNAcentral's name for it is "bacterial SSU rRNA". It matches the Rfam family "Bacterial small subunit ribosomal RNA", at positions 355 to 774 of the family's 1533-position model. The record is from RNAcentral.
UGGGGAAUAUUGGACAAUGGGCGCAAGCCCGAUCCAGCCACGCCGCGUGAGUGAUGAAGGCCUUCGGGUCGUAAAGCUCUGUGGGGAGGGACGAACCGCUGCACGUUCAUAGCGUGCAGCAUGACGGUACCUCCUUAGCAAGCACCGGCUAACUCCGUGCCAGCAGCCGCGGUAAUACGGAGGGUGCAAACGUUGCUCGGAAUCAUUGGGCGUAAAGCGCACGUAGGCGGCGAAGCAAGUCGGGUGUGAAAGCCCUGGGCUCAACCCAGGAAGUGCAUUCGAAACUAUUUCGCUUGAAUCUCGGAGGGGGUCAGAGAAUUCCCGGUGUAGAGGUGAAAUUCGUAGAUAUCGGGAGGGACACCAGUGGCGAAGGCGGCGAUCUGGGUCGAUACUGACGCUGAGGUGCGAAAGCGUGGGGAGCAAACA